Molecule: ribosomal RNA, 253 nt
Filed under: uncultured bacterium
Lineage: Bacteria
Description: partial 16S ribosomal RNA
Rfam family: Bacterial small subunit ribosomal RNA
Source: RNAcentral
UACAGAGGGGGCCAGCGUUAUUCGGAAUUAUUGGGCGUAAAGGGCGCGUAGGCGGCCAUGCGUGUCUUCCGUGAAAUCCCUCGGCUCAACCGAGGACGUGCGGAAGAAACUGCAAGGCUCGAGUCCGGAAGAGGGGGGCGGAAUUCCCAGUGUAGCGGUGAAAUGCGUAGAUAUUGGGAGGAACACCAGUGGCGAAGGCGGCUCGCUGGACCGGUUCUGACGCUGAUGCGCGAAAGCGUGGGGAGCAAACGGG